UAAGCCGUCAAAGUAAAUAUUAAUAUAUAUGUUUGGUUCAAGAAUUUAGAUUGUAUAUCAUAAUUGCAAUAAUCAAUCAGCCAAAUUCAAGGCUUCAUUUCUUGUAGUACUUUUUCCCUUCAUAUAAAAAGUGGAUAAAAAUUGUGUGGGUGGGUAUGUAUUACUCAAGCUUGAAAAAUUAGGUCAGUUAUAUUUAAAAAAAUGAAGUGGUCAUUUCAAUUGAAAUUACGUUAAAAGGGUUAGAACAAGAAAUAUACGUGUUGGUAAGAAAAAUUUAUGUACAAUGGAAAAUAUUUGGAAAUCAAAUUAGUUUUAGGACUUUUGAAGUUAAAUUUCAGAGAAGCAAAGGAAAAUCUCUGCAGUAAGCAAAACCGCCAAAAAAGGUAAUCUUUUAAAAAGAUUUGAACUAGCCGACUGCAGAUUUAUUUAAUUUUUUAGUUCAGGAUUUUAAAACUUUGUUAAACGAAGAGAAGUUUCAACCUUUAUUCCCACACAACCAGUCCUUCCAUUGAACUUCUAUGUUUGAUCCCUUUUAGGCUACAACGUCCUUGUAGCAAAAGUGUACGUACAGUGGACGUCAGAUGAUUCAUUCUUAUGGAAUAUUUGAGGGGUGGUUCAUAAAAUACUCACAAUUUACGUCCACUGGACGUUUGUUCUAAUUACGGUGCGCAAUAAUCCGAACACAUCUACACGCGGCUGCGCAGUGCAACAACAUUGGGAUUCCAGUUUUUCAAUAUGGCCAACUUCCGUGAUUGACCUUCCGAUGAUAGUCUGUGAUUGAUGUUUCUUUUACCCUUUAAAAUUGUGUUAGAACGGUAGUGAUAUAAGUGUAUAUAAUAUGGAGUUCUAAUACCCAGGUGAUGUUUGCCGAGUUUUGACCCAGUAUAAAAACCUUAUUCGUGUGUUAACCCGGGUCGGUGCCUAGAAGUUGGGAUGCAAUCGUUUCCCAAGACAGUUUCCAAGAAAGCUAUUUCUAAAUGACUCAAAAGAGGAAAAGAAGCGAAUUUUGUGUUACUUAGUUACAUUAUUUUCUGACCUGGUAGUUUUAACAGUUAUUGAAUAAAUAUCAUUUUCAAA
This is a long non-coding RNA of Photinus pyralis (common eastern firefly), 1077 nucleotides long. RefSeq lists it as uncharacterized. The record is from RefSeq and is a predicted model, not a curated record. Lineage: Eukaryota; Metazoa; Arthropoda; Insecta; Coleoptera; Lampyridae. The transcript is spliced from 3 exons.